This is a long non-coding RNA of Peromyscus eremicus (cactus mouse), 716 nucleotides long. RefSeq lists it as uncharacterized. NCBI's taxonomy places the organism in Eukaryota, Metazoa, Chordata, Mammalia, Rodentia, Cricetidae. The record is from RefSeq and is a predicted model, not a curated record. The transcript has 2 exons.
CUAUGCAUCCCUAGCUGGCCUAGGACUUGCUAUGUAAACCAGGCUGGUCUUGAACUCACAGAGACCCACUUGCUCCUGUCUCCUGAGUGUUGGGUUUAUAGACAUGCACCAUCACAUCUGGCCCACCUUGUGUUUUGAGAAAGGGUCUCUCACUGGCCUAGAACUCACCAAGUUUGUGACAUCACAGGAGAGCCUUUUGUGUCUCCAUGCUGUUUCCACCAGAGGCAGCCAGGUCCCUGCAGAACCUCAAGGCCACCUUUGACAGCAACCUGUCAAGUGCUGAAGGAGUCUCCUUGCACCUCUUUGCUUCAAGGGACUUAGAAAUCCCACAUCUGGAGACAUCACUCUGGAGUAACCAACUUGGACCACUGGAAACUCUGGUCAGUCUUGACUGUACUCUGCUGGAUUUGGCAUCUUCUAGGAGAAACGACUCUGGGCACAUCUGUGAAGAUACAUCCAGGGAGGUUUACUUGAGGAGGGAAGACAUCCUGAAUGCUGGUGUCACCAUCCCAUCACCUGGGGUUCUGAACUGUAUAAAAAGGAGAAAGUGAGCUGAGCACCAGCAACCUGCUUCCUGACUACAGAUGCAAUGUGACCCGCGGCCUCAGGCUCUCGCCCUGAUGGAUGGUGCCUGUGGGGCACGAGCCAGAAUAAACCCUCCCUUCCUGAACUUGGUUUUGUUACCUCAACAAUGAAAGUAAAAACAAAACAUGAAA